This 543-nucleotide ribosomal RNA is filed under the name uncultured Gammaproteobacteria bacterium. RNAcentral describes it as "bacterial SSU rRNA". It matches the Rfam family "Bacterial small subunit ribosomal RNA", at positions 1 to 540 of the family's 1533-position model. The record is from RNAcentral. Lineage: Bacteria; Pseudomonadati; Pseudomonadota; Gammaproteobacteria.
UGAGUUUGAUUAUGGCUCAGAUUGAACGCUGGCGGCAGGCCUAACACAUGCAAGUCGAGCGGUAACAGGACUAGCUUGCUAGUUGCUGACGAGCGGCGGACGGGUGCGUAACACGUAGGAAUCUGCCCGGUAGUGGGGGAUAGCCCGGAGAAAUCCGGAUUAAUACCGCAUACGCCUUACGAGGGAAAGGAGGGGACUCUUCGGAGCCUUUCGCUAUCGGAUGAGCCUGCGUCGGAUUAGCUAGUUGGUGGGGUAAAGGCCUACCAAGGCGACGAUCCGUAGCUGGUCUGAGAGGAUGAUCAGCCACACUGGGACUGAGACACGGCCCAGACUCCUACGGGAGGCAGCAGUGGGGAAUAUUGCACAAUGGGGGAAACCCUGAUGCAGCCAUGCCGCGUGUGUGAAGAAGGCUCUAGGGUUGUAAAGCACUUUCAGCGAGGAGGAAAGGUUGCUGGUUAAUACCCAGCGGCUGUGACGUUACUCGCAGAAGAAGCACCGGCUAACUCCGUGCCAGCAGCCGCGGUAAUACGGAGGGUGCGAGCG